CGACGGAAGGCUCCUGCUUGCAGGGGUACUCGAGUGGCGAACGGGUGAGUAACACGUGGGUGAUCUGCCCUGCACUUCGGGAUAAGCCUGGGAAACUGGGUCUAAUACCGGAUAGGACGAUGGUUUGGAUGCCAUUGUGGAAAGUUUUUUCGGUGUGGGAUGAGCUCGCGGCCUAUCAGCUUGUUGGUGGGGGUUAAAAUGGCCCUCCACCCAAGGCGCUCGACCGGGUUAGCCCCGGCCUGUAGAAAGGGUGUACCGGGCCCAACAUUGGGAACCUGGAGAUAACGGCCCCCCAGACUUCCUUACGGGGGAGGCCAGCCAGUGGGGGAAAUAUUGCACCAAUUGGGGCGCCAAGCCCUGAAUGCAAGCGAACGCCCCGCGUGGGGGGAUUGACCGGCCUUUCGGGGUUAGUAAAACUCCUUUUCCGCUAGGGGACGAAAGCGCCAAGUGGACCGGUACCCUGGAGAAGGAAGCACCCGGCUAACUUACGUGCCAAGCAGCCGGCGGUAAUUACGUAGGGGUGCGAAGCGUUGUCCGGAAUUUACUGGGCGUAAAGAGCUUCGUAGGUGGUUUGUCGCGUCGUUUGUGUAAGCCCGCAGCUUAACUGCGGGACUGCAGGCGAUACGGGCAUAACUUGAGUGCUGUAGGGGAGACUGGAAUUCCUGGUGUAGCGGUGGAAUGCGCAGAUAUCAGGAGGAACACCGAUGGCGAAGGCAGGUCUCUGGGCAGUAACUGACGCUGAGGAGCGAAAGCAUGGGUAGCGAACAGGAUUAGAUACCCUGGUAGUCCAUGCCGUAAACGGUGGGCGCUAGGUGUGAGUCCCUUCCACGGGGGUUCGUGCCGCUAGCUAACGCAUUAAGCGCCCCGCCCUGGUGGAGUACGGCCGCCAAGGCUAAAAACUCAAAGGGAAUUGACGGGGGGCCCGCACAAGCGGCGGGAGCAUGUUGGAUUAAUUUCGAUGGCAACGCCGAAGAAACCUUUACCUGGGGCUUGGACAUACAACCAGAACCGGGCCCAGAGAUGGUCCCUUUCCCCUUUGUGGGUUGGGUGUACCAGGUGGGUGGCAAUGGUUUGUUCGUCCAGCUCGUGUCGUGAGAUGUUGGGUUAAGUCCCGCAACGAGCGCAACCCUUGUCUUAUGUUGCCAGCACGUUAUGGUGGGGACUCGUGAGAGACUGCCGGGGUUAACUCGGAGGAAGGUGGGGAUGACGUCAAAUCAUCAUGCCCCUUAUGUCCAGGGCUUCACACAUGCUACAAUGGUCGGUACAACGCGUCUGCGAGCCUGUGAGGGUGAGCUAAUCGCUGUAAAGCCGGUCGUAGUUCGGAUUGGGGUCUGCAACUCGACCCCAUGAAGUCGGAGUCGCUAGUAAUCGCAGAUCAGCAACGCUGCGGUGAAUACGUUCCCGGGCCUUGUACACACCGCCCGUCACGUCAUGAAAGUUGGUAACACCCGAAGCCAGUGGCCUGUCAUGGAGCGUC
Molecule: ribosomal RNA, 1477 nt
Filed under: Corynebacterium pilbarense
Lineage: Bacteria; Bacillati; Actinomycetota; Actinomycetes; Mycobacteriales; Corynebacteriaceae
Description: bacterial SSU rRNA
Rfam family: Bacterial small subunit ribosomal RNA
Source: RNAcentral